Molecule: ribosomal RNA, 468 nt
Filed under: uncultured bacterium
Lineage: Bacteria
Description: partial 16S ribosomal RNA
Rfam family: Bacterial small subunit ribosomal RNA
Source: RNAcentral
GACGAACGCUGGCGGCGCGCUUAACACAUGCAAGUCGAACGGAAAGGCCCUGCUUUUGUGGGAUGCUCGAGUGGCGAACGGGUGAGUAACACGUGAGUAACCUGCCCUUGACUUUGGGAUAACUUCAGGAAACUGGGGCUAAUACCGGAUAGGAGCUCCUGCUGCAUGGUGGGGGUUGGAAAGUUUCGGCGGUUGGGGAUGGACUCGCGGCUUAUCAGCUUGUUGGUGGGGUAGUGGCUUACCAAGGCUUUGACGGGUAGCCGGCCUGAGAGGGUGACCGGCCACAUUGGGACUGAGAUACGGCCCAGACUCCUACGGGAGGCAGCAGUGGGGAAUAUUGCACAAUGGGCGGAAGCCUGAUGCAGCAACGCCGCGUUCUUGAUGACGUCCUUCGGGUUGUAAACCGCUUUCGCCUGUUACGACUCGUUCGUGACGGUAAGGGGUAAAGAAGUACCGUCUGACUACGUG